GACGGGGAGGGGCAAGUGUUCUUCGGAUUUACUGGGCGUAAAGCGCACGUAGGCGGAUCGUUAAGUCGGGGGUGAAAUCCUGGAGCUCAACUCCAGAACUGCCUUCGAUACUGGCGAUCUAGAGUCCGGAAGAGGUGAGUGGAACUCCUAGUGUAGAGGUGGAAUUCGUAGAUAUUAGGAAGAACACCAGUGGCGAAGGCGGCUCACUGGUCCGGUACUGACGCUGAGGUGCGAAAGCGUGGGGAGCAAACAGG
Molecule: ribosomal RNA, 254 nt
Filed under: uncultured bacterium
Lineage: Bacteria
Description: partial 16S ribosomal RNA
Rfam family: Bacterial small subunit ribosomal RNA
Source: RNAcentral